RNAcentral lists this ribosomal RNA (207 nucleotides) under uncultured bacterium. Its description in RNAcentral is "partial 16S ribosomal RNA". It matches the Rfam family "Bacterial small subunit ribosomal RNA", at positions 568 to 774 of the family's 1533-position model. The record is from RNAcentral.
CGCGUAGGCGGAUUGGUAAGUUUGAUGUGAAAUACCUGGGCUCAACCUGGGAACUGCAUCGGACACUGCUGAUCUUGAGUGUUGAAAGGGAUGAUGGAAUUAUGCAUGGAGAGGUGGAAUUCAUAGAUAUGCAUAGGAACACCGGAGGCGAAGGCGAUCAUCUGGGCAACAACUGACGCUGAGGCGCGAAAGCGUGGGGAGCAAACA